RNAcentral lists this ribosomal RNA (253 nucleotides) under uncultured bacterium. RNAcentral's name for it is "partial 16S ribosomal RNA". It matches the Rfam family "Bacterial small subunit ribosomal RNA", at positions 524 to 776 of the family's 1533-position model. The record is from RNAcentral.
UACGGGGGGGGCAAGCGUUGUUCGGAAUUACUGGGCGUAAAGGGCUCGUCGGCGGCCAACUAAGUCGGAUGUGAAAUCCCCAGGCUUAACCUGGGAACUGCAUCCGAUACUGGAUGGCUUGAAUCCGGGAGAGGGAUGCAGAAUUCCAGGUGUAGCGGUGAAAUGCGUAGAUAUCUGGAGGAAUACCGGUGGCGAAGGCGGCAUCCUGGACCGGCAUUGACGCUGAUGAGCGAAAGCUAGGGGAGCAAACGGG